AUUCCAGCCCCAAUAGCGUAUAUUUAAGUUGCUGCAGUUAAAAAGCUCGUAGUUGGAUUUCGGGCGGUUGACGACGGUCCGCCUCUGGUGUGCACUGCCGUUCUUCCGCCUUUCUGUCGGGGACGUGCUCCUAGGCUUCAUUGUCUGGGACACGGGUUCGACGUGGUUACUUUGAGUAAAUUAGAGUGUUCAAAGCAGGCAUCGCCUUGAAUAUAUUAGCAUGGAAUAGCACGAUAGGACUCUGGCCUAUUUUGCUGGUCUGUAGGACCGGAGUAAUGAUUAAGAGGGACAGUCGGGGGCAUUCGUAUUUCAUUGUCAGAGGUGAAAUUCUUGGAUUUAUGAAAGACGAACUUCUGCGAAAGCAUUUGCCAAGGAUGUUUUCAUCG
This 386-nucleotide ribosomal RNA is filed under the name Chlamydomonas sp. RNAcentral's name for it is "partial small subunit ribosomal RNA". It matches the Rfam family "Eukaryotic small subunit ribosomal RNA", at positions 582 to 975 of the family's 1831-position model. Lineage: Eukaryota; Viridiplantae; Chlorophyta; Chlorophyceae; Chlamydomonadales; Chlamydomonadaceae. The record is from RNAcentral.